GCACUGCUGAGGAGUCGCAUGAUAGGGCGAAACGGCCGUCCAGUGC
RNAcentral lists this non-coding RNA (46 nucleotides) under Schistosoma mansoni. The record is from RNAcentral. Lineage: Eukaryota; Metazoa; Platyhelminthes; Trematoda; Strigeidida; Schistosomatidae.